This 7006-nucleotide long non-coding RNA is filed under the name Homo sapiens (human). Its description in RNAcentral is "non-protein coding LINC02289:41". Lineage: Eukaryota; Metazoa; Chordata; Mammalia; Primates; Hominidae. The record is from RNAcentral.
GCAUUUGAGCUAAAGCAAGGGAAGCAUUUCCCCUUCCCCUGGCUGAAAGCUCAGCUGACCCCGAGGCUCUUCUGGUCAUGCUUAGGUAUGUACAUUUUAUGUCACGAAAUCCAGUAUCGACUUAGAGAUUUAAAGCAGCCACCCAAAGAUAUUAAAUGACUCUUGCAUUUUUCUUCAAAGAGAAAUCUUCUUCCUCCUGCCCUAGUUAAGGCCUUAGUUGGGGGCUGCCAGCUGCCAGGGACUGGGCAUGGUGGCUUUUGUCUAUUCUCUCCCGAAUACCCCUCUCCCCACUUGCUGGUUGCUUUCAGAGUCUAAGUGGAGGUGGUGGGUGAGGAUGCAGGGAAGCGGAUGGGGAGCAGGGGAAUAGGGCAGUUUUUACUUGACUGUAUGAUUGCCAGCUCUCUGGGUGUGGCAGAUGGUGAAAGCUCUUUCUGGAGGGUUCCCUGUGUUCUUCAGAAGUUCCCAUCUCAGCCAGGCUUGGUGGCUCACGCCUAUAAUCCCAGCACUUUGGAAGGCGGAGGCGGGCAGAUCACUGGAGCCCAGGAGUACUAGACCAGCCCGAGCAACAUGGCUAAACCUCAUCUCUACCAAAAAUACAAAAAGUAUCUGGGGGUGGUGCUGCACGCCUGUAGUCCCAGCUACUUGGGAGGCUGAGGCAGGAGGAUUGCUUGAACCCAGGAGGUAGAGGUUGCUGUGAGCCGAGUUUGGGCCACUGGACUCCAGCUUGGGCAACAGAGUGAGACCCUGUCUUAAAAAAAAAAAAAAAAAAAGUUCCCAUCUCUAAGGUUUUCUCCUGAAGUUCCCUGUUCUGCACCUCCAUUUCAGGUACAGCUAUGACUCCAUCUUCAACCCCUAGAAAUCCAGCAUCCUCUUCCAACUUCUUUCUGCUGACAUCCCUUUGCCCUUCUCAGAGGCCCUACAGGACUUAAAAUGACCCCCACCUUGGCCCUCUCUCCUGCCAUGGUCCAUCUGAUCCACAUGUGGCCCAUGGGAAGAACUCACACAGCCCCUUCACUCAUCCUAAUGCAGUCCCUCCUGGCACAGUCCCAUGGGGGCCCACAGCUCCAAGUGGCUGCAUGGAAGCCCCCAUCACUAGGCUUGAGUUGAAAGCAGUAGGGCCCCUAACUCCUUGGUGGGGUAGCUUACAGCAUGGCUUUGCCCUUUCUGGAAGUUUCUAUUUCCAAACUCUCCCCAUUCUCCACACUCUAUAUUGUUGGUAGGCUGAGGGCCCUGAGUGCUAUGCAACUGGUUCCCCAUUAUUUCCUUUGUAAAUACUACAUAUGGGAGUCUGUCUCAUGUUCAGUUUGCUAUCUGAUGAUAUUGUGGUAGCCUGCUUCCACAAUGGCCCCUCAUUGUCCCCAUCUCCUGGUAUUCACAUCAUUGUGUCUCCUCCCUCCGUGAACAGGGCCGACCCUUGUAGCCACUUGCUAUUGCAGAGCUGAUGGCAUGCAUCUUCUGAGGCUAGGUCAUUGUUGUGUGUUUAAUGAUGUCCCCCAGAAGAUAUGUUGCAGCCCUAACCCCCAGGGCCUAUAAAUGUGACCUUUUCUGGAAAUAGUCUUCGCAGUUGUAAUCAAGGGUUGUUCUUGACUAGAGUGGGCCCUACAUCCAAUGACUGGUGUUCUCAUAAGGAGAGAGAGACAAAGAGUAGACAGACACAAGGGAGAAGGCCGUGUGAAGAUGGAGACAGAGAUUGGAAUGAUACAGCCACAAGCCAAGAAACAUCUGCGGCCGUCAGAAGUUGGAAGAGGCAAGGAAUGAUUUAUUCUUUCCCACUCAUUGUUUCACCAAUGAGCACCUUCCAUGUGCCACCGUUCUGACCCUGCUGACAAUGUGGUUUCAGACUUCUGGCCCCCAGAACUGUGAAAGAGUAAAUUUCUGUUAAGUUAUCUUGCUUGUGGUACUUUGUUACAGCAGCCCUGUGGAUCUAAUAUAGUCAUAAGAGACAUUGUGACCUCCUCCCUGCUCUCUUGAACCACUCAUUCUGGGAGAAGUCAGCUGCCAUGUCAUGAAGCUACUCAGGGAGGUCCAUGGAGAGGUCCACAUGGCAAGGAACUGAGGCCUCCUGCCAGUAGCCAGCACCAUCUUGCUGGCCAUGUGAGCGUGCCAUCUUAGAUGCAGAUCAUACGGCCCCAGUCAAGCCUUCAAAUGACUGCAUCCCUACUUGACAUUUUGACUGUAACCUCAUGACAAACCCUAAGCCAGAACACCAGCUAAGCCACUCCCCAAUUCCUCAUCAAGAGAAACUGAGAUAAUAAAUGUUUAUUAUUGUUUUAAGCUACUAAAUUUUGAGGUAAUCUGUUAUGUAGCAAUAGAUAACUAAUACUGAUAUCUGUCAUAUUGGGGCCUCAGUGUAACUUGGAACAGAAAGAGUUCCAUAUUAUAAUUCUUAAACAUUACUUGGAAUGGUUAGGGGCCCCAGUGCUAUUCUCUCUGGGGAUAUUUCCAGCAAUGGGCCCCACAGCCAUUUAUAGUGAGUUGUCCCACUUACUCUUUCACCAGUGAGCACUUUCCAUGUGUCAGAUGCCAUAUUAGAGACUGGGGCUAUAGAAAUGAACAGUCUUUUGGGAGGCCGAGGCAGGUGGAUCACCUGAGGUCAAGAAUUUGAGACCAGUCUGACCAACAUGGAGAAACCCCGUCUCUACUAAAAAAAAAAAAAAUACAAAAUUAGCUGGGUGUGGUGGUGCAUGCCUGUAAUCCCAGCUACUUGGGAGGCUGAGGCAGGAGAAUCACUUGAACCUGAGAGGCGGAGGUUGUGGUAAGCCAAGAUUACACCAUUGCACUCCAGCCUGGGCAACAAGAGUGAAAUUCCAUCUCAAAAAAAGAAAAAAAAGAAAUGAACAGCCCUGUUCUUAAUCACUUAACCAGUGGUCAUUAUGGUCUCUGCUAGUAGAGCACUAUGGGCAAGAAGGACAGCACUGCUUUGCAGGGAAGGGAAAAGAGAGACAUCACUGAGGCACUGAAGAGGAGAAGCAUUCAGUGGUAUGACCUUGAAGAGACAAGAAGAGGACCAAGUUCAAGAGUCUGCAAGAACAGUGGGAGGUAGAGCUGGAACUAGAAUCCAGACACCCCACUUCUAGUCUUGAAUUUGCGCUUCCUGAACUACACAGAGGCUGGCUCAUGGUACCAGGGUCUCUAAAGAUACCUGGAGGCAUGAACUUGAAUCCUGCUGGGAUACUACUCUUUGAAUAAUAAUUUCUCUAUGGAAAGGCAGGGUACAAAGUCUUGGAAUCUUGUUUCUGCUCUGCCAUCUUAGCUAAAUAACUCCCUUUGGAGAUCCUUUGAACCCUGAUAGAUCAGCAAGCCCCCUCUGAAACAUCAUAAGCCUCAGGGCAAGAAGGCUGGCCUUCUCCUCCAUCUGAAUCCCAGCCCUUCUUUUUUUGAGAUGGAGUUUUGCUCUUGUUGCCCAGGCUGGAGUGCAAUGGCGCGAUCUCGGCUCACCACAACCUCUGCCUCCUGGGUUCUAGCGAUUCUCCUGCCUCAGCCUCCUGAGUAGCUGGGAUUACAGGCAUGCAAAACCAUGCCCUGCUAAUUUUGUAUUUUAAGUAGAGACAGGGUUUCUCCAUGUUGGAAAGGCUGGUCUUGAACUCUCGACUUCAGGUGAUCCGCCCGCCUCUAGCCCUUCUUAGUAGUGGUGUUUUCUAAACAGGUUAGAUAAGAAUUUGACACCUGCUGAAAUCUCCAGGCUGGCUCCUCCCAAGGUCAAAUUGCACAUCUUGCCAACGAGAACAGCCUUCACUUCUUGAGCAUCUACUCAGCAGCAAGUGAUUUCUCUAAUCUUCACAACACCCUCUCAAGGCAAGGGAUCAUGGGCCACACUUGGCAAUCUAGGAAAGUGAAGUUCAAGAACAAGCCCCAGGACACACAGCUAGUGACAGCGAGGCACAGAGCUGGGAUUCCAACCCAGGCCUGUCUAACCCUAAAGCUCCUCCUAUCCACCUCCUCCUUGCUGCCACAGAAGGUGACUCAGAGGUACUCAGUCUGGAGAAUUCAAGCCAGUAUCCCAGGAAGUGGAAUUUUCUCCAGUGUUCUAGGAAGGAGGGAUUACCAUGGCAUGGGGUGGGCCAGGUAGACACAAGAGGCAGUGAAGGUGCAUAAAGUGGUGAUUAAAGGGAAUGGAGUCUACUGUGGUUUGGAUAUGGUUGCGUCAACCUAAACUCAUGUUGAAAUUUGACCCUCGGUGUGGUGGUGGUGGGAGGUGGGGCCUAGUGGGAGGUGUCUGGGUCAUGGGGGCAGAUCUCUCAUGAAGGGCUUAGUGCCAUCCUCACAGUGGAGAGUGAGUUUUCACCCUGGCAAGACUGGAUUCUUGUAGGAAUGGAUUUGUUCCCAAGACAGUGGGUUGUUAUAAAGCCAGGAUGCCCCUUGGGUUUUCCCUUCUUUGCAAGUGUUCACUCUCCCUUUGACCUUCUGUAUGUCGCAGCCCUCACCAGAGGCUGAGCAGAUGCUGAGGCCAUGCUUCUUGAUUCUCCCAGCCAACAGAUCUGUAAGCUGAAUAAACCUCUCUUCUUUAUAAAUUACCCCGUCUCAGGUAUCCUGUUAUGGCAACACGAAAUGGACUAAGACAGGCGGGUGACAGAUUGUCCAGGUUUGAAACAUAGCUUUUCCUUGUGCACCGCAUCUCAGGUUCUUCAUCUGAAAAUUGGGGAUAAGAACAUGUACCUCCUUGGGUUUGGGGGAAGAUUAAAUGAGAUAAUGCAUGUGAAAUUCAUGGCAAGAGUAAACUGCCCAUUACAUCUUUCUGCUUUUAACAUUGCUAUUGACAUUACUUUCCCUCCAUGGUCACUAGACUCUUGUAUCAGGCCAGUAUUUGAAGACAGACAAAUUUAAACGAAAUAGAUGUAACUUGGAGGAUGAUGGCAGAGAAAUCUGUGGCUUGACGGUUUUUUUUUUUUUUUUUUUUUUGAGACAGAGUCUUGCACUGUUGCCCAGGCUGGAGUGCAGUAGCAUGAUCUCAGCUCACUGCAACCUCCGCCUCCCGGGUUCAAGCGAUUCUCCUUCCUCAACCUCCCUAGUAGCUGGGAUUACAGGUGCCCGCUACCAUGCCUGCUAAUUUUUUGUAUUUUUAUAGAGACAGGGUUUCACUAUGUUGGCCAGGCUGGUCUCGAACUCCUGACCUCGUGAUCCACCCGUUUCGGCCUCCCAAAGUGCUGGGAUUACAGGCGUGAGCCACCGCGCCUGGCCUUGAAGGUUGUUUUUCUAAUUUUUUUUCCCAGCUCUAAGACAGCUCCCUGUGUAAGAUGAUGAGUGUGAUUAAUUGCAAUCAGCUCCUCUCCAUGUAAUGAGGGAAGCUGGAUGUCAUCCUCUGGCUUCUGUCCAAGCUGAUGCAGUUACCUAUUGUGUCCACAGGAUGUCACUAUCAAUCACGCUUCGACUGAGUACAGCCAAACCAGGAUACUCAGGGACUUGGAAUCUGUUACCAGACUUUUAUUUAGUACAGACACAGCGCCAGGGGGCUGAGCAUUCUUCAGCAACACCCUUUGGACCCCUUUCUACACCAUCAUGCUGUAUGAACAGAAGGGUUGGGGACAUGAAGGAGCAGCUCAGCUAAGGUGACCCAGAUGGUUGGGCUCAGAGCUGGAAGAACACCGUGGUCUUCUGACUCCCAAUUCCUGCAUCUGUCCUGCUUGUAAGAGGCUUGCCAAGAACAGGAGCUUUUGUUUGUAGGUCUCUAGGGAUGGCCACCACAGGGAGUGUGAUUUGAAGAUGGGGUCGGCGUGACAUUACAGGCCCCCUUUAGGCUCUGCUGGGUUGCAGGCCAGCUCUCUGGGCUGCCUUUCUGAUGGCUGCUAUUUUAAAGGCAGAUAGGAUGAAGUUAGCAACAACUUAUAUCAUUAAACUAGCAAGGGCUCAGGAGGGGCAGCCCCCUUCUGGGAAUGUGCCUAGCUCCUGCUCCAGAAUGGAGGAGUUUCUGUGGCUCUAGGAGAGCUGGCCUUCUAUGGAGUCUGAGCAAUGUACCGCACGGGGAGGAGAAGACGCUUCCAGAAGAUACCAGUGUUUCUAUCCAGAGACGUUUCCAGGACACCACGUUAAGCAGCAGAGACACUAGAAGCCAAGGCACCUAUGGUCUGGUGUGGAUGUGUGCCUCCUGUGCCUCAGUGGCAUCAUCCGUACCAUGGGAGGUGUGUAAUGAGGGGUGAGAUCACGUCUGUGAGGGCACGUACAUAGUAGAUGCCCAGGAAGUGCCAGUCCCCAUCUCCUUCCCAGUUUCUUCAAAGCCUUCUGGAAGGCACUGGCAUAGCCCAGUCCUGAGGCACUGCUUUUUCUUUCAUGGAUGAUCAGGAGCUUCUGUGAUUUCUUCCCCCUCACUCUUCAUUUUGCCAAGAUGUUGCCCAUAGUAACCUCAGCAGUGGAGCGAGGAUUCUGCACUGUUCCACUGCCCUGGGGCUGCACACCCACGUGAGCGGGGCCGACCCGUCCCAGAGCGCUUUGCCCUCAGAAGGCAGCAUCACCUGCAGGAGCAAUGCCAUGGACAGCUCUGGCUUGUCCUCCAGGGCCCUGGCAUGGUCAGUGAGAAAAUGCCCCUGGGGCAUGGGCUUCUCCUGUCAGUCAAGUUCAGAAGGCUUCCUGGGGUAGGUAGAGACGCUCCCUACCCAGCUGAGUUAUUGAAAUGAUAGGAGGGAGAAGGGAAGGUCUGGGCAUGUGGCACUGUGAUUUUUUUUUCUUUCUUCUUUUUUUUUUUUUUUUUUUUUGGAGACUCGGGGUAGAAAUGAGGACAGGAAGAAGUACAAUCCGUCUGGGAUUGGUUUAUUUUUAUUGCUUUUUAAAAUCAUGUGACUAAUUGGUGUUCAUUGAAAAAGAGAAAACAAAAAUAAGCCAAGAGAAGACAGCAAAAAUAAUCUGUUAACAUCUUGGCAAAUAUCCUUUUUCUCUGCAUAGAAACGGAGAAUACUUUUGUUUCACUUAUAAAAUGUUUCUUAAUGUACACAGCUUUAUAACCUGCUUUUUGCUUAAUGGGACAAUAUACUAGGACAUGUUUUCAGGCCAACAGAUAAAUAUACUUCACUUGCAU